RNAcentral lists this unclassified non-coding RNA (341 nucleotides) under Hypoxylon investiens. RNAcentral describes it as "partial internal transcribed spacer region". The stretch from base 1 to 46 matches the Rfam family "Eukaryotic small subunit ribosomal RNA", at positions 1786 to 1831 of the family's 1831-position model. The record is from RNAcentral. Lineage: Eukaryota; Fungi; Ascomycota; Sordariomycetes; Xylariales; Hypoxylaceae.
AAGUCGUAACAAGGUCUCCGUUGGUGAACCAGCGGAGGGAUCAUUACUGAGUUAUUAAAACUCCAAACCCUUUGUGAACCUUACUGUCGUUGCCUCGGCGUGAGCUACGGCUACCCUGUAGCUACCCUAUAGCUACCCUGCAGCUACCCUAUAGUUGACCAGUAGCUACCCUGUAGUUACCCUAUAGCUACCCUGCAGCUACCCUAUAGUUGAUAUGUAGCUACCCUGUAGCCGGCUUAUGGCCCGCCGAAGGACCGCUAAACUCUUGUUUUUUACCACUGUUUCUCUGAAUUGUAAACUUAAAUAAGUUAAAACUUUCAACAACGGAUCUCUUGGUUCUG